GGGACACGUGGUAUCCUGUCUGAAUAUGGGGGGACCAUCCUCCAAGGCUAAAUACUCCUGACUGACCGAUAGUGAACCAGUACCGUGAGGGAAAGGCGAAAAGAACCCCGGCGAGGGGAGUGAAAAAGAACCUGAAACCGUGUACGUACAAGCAGUGGGAGCCUCUUUAUGGGGUGACUGCGUACCUUUUGUAUAAUGGGUCAGCGACUUAUAUUCUGUAGCAAGGUUAACCGAAUAGGGGAGCCGAAGGGAAACCGAGUCUUAACUGGGCGUUAAGUUGCAGGGUAUAGACCCGAAACCCGGUGAUCUAGCCAUGGGCAGGUUGAAGGUUGGGUAACACUAACUGGAGGACCGAACCGACUAAUGUUGAAAAAUUAGCGGAUGACUUGUGGCUGGGGGUGAAAGGCCAAUCAAACCGGGAGAUAGCUGGUUCUCCCCGAAAGCUAUUUAGGUAGCGCCUCGUGAACUCAUCUCCGGGGGUAGAGCACUGUUUCGGCAAGGGGGUCAUCCCGACUUACCAACCCGAUGCAAACUGCGAAUACCGGAGAAUGUUAUCACGGGAGACACACGGCGGGUGCUAACGUCCGUCGUGAAGAGGGAAACAACCCAGACCGCCAGCUAAGGUCCCAAAGUCAUGGUUAAGUGGGAAACGAUGUGGGAAGGCCCAGACAGCCAGGAUGUUGGCUUAGAAGCAGCCAUCAUUUAAAGAAAGCGUAAUAGCUCACUGGUCGAGUCGGCCUGCGCGGAAGAUGUAACGGGGCUAAACCAUGCACCGAAGCUGCGGCAGCGACGCUUAUGCGUUGUUGGGUAGGGGAGCGUUCUGUAAGCCUGUGAAGGUGUGCUGUGAGGCAUGCUGGAGGUAUCAGAAGUGCGAAUGCUGACAUAAGUAACGAUAAAGCGGGUGAAAAGCCCGCUCGCCGGAAGACCAAGGGUUCCUGUCCAACGUUAAUCGGGGCAGGGUGAGUCGACCCCUAAGGCGAGGCCGAAAGGCGUAGUCGAUGGGAAACAGGUUAAUAUUCCUGUACUUGGUGUUACUGCGAAGGGGGGACGGAGAAGGCUAUGUUGGCCGGGCGACGGUUGUCCCGGUUUAAGCGUGUAGGCUGGUUUUCCAGGCAAAUCCGGAAAAUCAAGGCUGAGGCGUGAUGACGAGGCACUACGGUGCUGAAGCAACAAAUGCCCUGCUUCCAGGAAAAGCCUCUAAGCAUCAGGUAACAUCAAAUCGUACCCCAAACCGACACAGGUGGUCAGGUAGAGAAUACCAAGGCGCUUGAGAGAACUCGGGUGAAGGAACUAGGCAAAAUGGUGCCGUAACUUCGGGAGAAGG
RNAcentral lists this ribosomal RNA (1324 nucleotides) under Escherichia coli. RNAcentral describes it as "partial 23S ribosomal RNA". It matches the Rfam family "Bacterial large subunit ribosomal RNA", at positions 419 to 1746 of the family's 2925-position model. The record is from RNAcentral. Lineage: Bacteria; Pseudomonadati; Pseudomonadota; Gammaproteobacteria; Enterobacterales; Enterobacteriaceae.